GUAGGGGGCUAGCGUUGUCCGGAAUCAUUGGGCGUAAAGCGCGUGUAGGCGGUCCGGUAAGUCCGCUGUGAAAGUCGGGGGCUCAACCCUCGGAUGCCGGUGGAUACUGUCGGGCUUGAGUACGGAAGAGGCGAGUGGAAUUCCUGGUGUAGCGGUGAAAUGCGCAGAUAUCAGGAGGAACACCAAUUGCGAAGGCAGCUCGCUGGGACGUUACUGACGCUGAGACGCGAAAGCGUGGGGAGCAAACAGGAUUAGAUACCCUGGUAGUCCACGCUGUAAACGAUGGGCACUAGGUGUGGGGGGUGUCGACUCCCUCCGUGCCGAAGCUAACGCAUUAAGUGCCCCGCCUGGGGAGUACGGCCGCAAGGCUA
RNAcentral lists this ribosomal RNA (371 nucleotides) under uncultured organism. RNAcentral's name for it is "bacterial SSU rRNA". It matches the Rfam family "Bacterial small subunit ribosomal RNA", at positions 527 to 896 of the family's 1533-position model. The record is from RNAcentral.